UCGAAGUAUCGUACUUUCUACCGUGCCUCUUGGCAAUUCUUGAACUUUUUGAAUUUUUUUGUAUAGAUUAAACACGCUCCACGUACAUAAAAAAUACUCUAAAAACUCAAAAUUAGUGUUAAAAAUCCCUUCCAACCAAUUUUGAAAUAUCGGCACGGCGGUGUCACCAUGCUCCGGUGACGGCACCAUCGCCCACAGUGGUGGUUUGCCUCAGCCUGGCCAUUUUCGGUCGGUUUUGGCCAAUUUUACACAUAUUCCUGCGAAAAACACGUUAGGGAGCCUCGGUUGGCCGAAAACUAAUGAGGAAACCGAAACCUACUGGUGGUGAAGUUUCUGGUGCGACGACUCCUCUAGCUCUCCUUCGCAGCUGGGAUUCCUCCUUCGGUCAAGUUGCUGAAAACAGAACGGUGAAC
This 413-nucleotide long non-coding RNA is filed under the name Carica papaya (papaya). RNAcentral describes it as "long non-coding RNA (CPAP_LNC012132)". The record is from RNAcentral. Lineage: Eukaryota; Viridiplantae; Streptophyta; Magnoliopsida; Brassicales; Caricaceae.